RNAcentral lists this non-coding RNA (621 nucleotides) under Pongo abelii (Sumatran orangutan). The record is from RNAcentral. Lineage: Eukaryota; Metazoa; Chordata; Mammalia; Primates; Hominidae.
GAAAUGCCAAUUUCAACUCAGCAUCUGCCGACAGGUCUACCUAAUCUUCCAAACUCUGUGUAAAUCCUGGAUCCACCAUUUACCAGCUGUGUAACCCUGGACAACAAUUCCAUCUUUCUGACCUCAGUGUCUUUCUCUGCAAAACAGGGGUAAGAAUAAUCCUACUUCAAUAGAGCUGCUGUGAGGAUUCACUGAGAUAAUGUGUACAAAGUUCCUACAAUAGUACUGAACCCACAGCCAUGGAUUCAAGACCACUAACUUAUAAUCAGUGAUAUCCAAGAGGAUGGGAAGAGAAUAUUAAGCCUGGUGCUCUGCAAAUUAAUACUUGGAGGUAAAUGAGAAGUAUCAUAGGCAUAUUACGAUUUACUUAACAUUUCAUUCUAUUUGAAAGAGAAAUUCCCAAAUGUUAAAUACUACCCUACAUUUUAAGCUUAAAAAUACGCUGGACAUGUGACAAUGGUGCUGAGUACUUUGGGGGAAGAUCACAACAGUCCUGGUAGCAGUGUUACAGCAAAAUAUUUCAGAGGUACCAGAUGAGCUAGCUCCAAGGCAAAUGAGGCAAUAUUAUGUUUAACUGUUUGUUCGGAAACUUCUUUUAUUAAAAAAGAUUUUAAAUAUUAA